This 1290-nucleotide ribosomal RNA is filed under the name Mycoplasmataceae genomosp. P1 oral clone MB1_G23. Its description in RNAcentral is "bacterial SSU rRNA". It matches the Rfam family "Bacterial small subunit ribosomal RNA". The record is from RNAcentral. RNAcentral also lists the same sequence under 1 other name. Lineage: Bacteria; Bacillati; Mycoplasmatota; Mollicutes; Mycoplasmatales; Mycoplasmataceae.
GAUUAACGCUGGCGGUACGUCUAAUACAUGCAAGUCGAACGAGUGGCGAACGGGUGAGUAACACGUAGGUAACCUGCCUACAAGUUGGGGAUAACACAAGGAAACUUGUGCUAAUACCGAAUAAUUAAAGCUGCUUGAAGAGGGGCCUGCGGCGCAUUAGUUAGUUGGUAAGGUAAUGGCUUACCAAGACGAUGAUGCGUAGCUGGACUGAGAGGUUGAACAGCCACAUUGGGACUGAGAAACGGCCCAGACUCCUACGGGAGGCAGCAGUAGAGAAUCUUCGGCAAUGGGGGAAACCCUGACCGAGCGAUACCGCGUGAGUGAUGAAAUACUUCGGUAUGUAAAAUUCUUUUAUUAAAGAAGAUGACGUUAUUUAAUGAAUAAGUCCCGGCUAACUAUGUGCCAGCAGCCGCGGUAAUACAUAGGGGACGAGCGUUAUCCGGAAUAAUUGGGCGUAAAGGGUGCGUAGGCGGUGUGUUAAGUUCAAGGUUUAAUCGUAGGGCUCAACCCUAUAUCGCUUUGAAAACUGGCACACUAGAGUAAGAUAGAGGCAAGUGGAAUUCCAUGUGUAGCGGUAAAAUGCGUAAAUAUAUGGCAGAACACCAGAGGCGAAGGCGGCUUGCUGGGUCUACCGACGCUGAGGCACGAAAGCGUGGGGAGCAAACAGGAUUAGAUACCCUGGUAGUCCACGCCGUAAACGAUGAGCACUAAAAGUCGGGUUCGGCUUUCAAGUUAACGCGAUAAGUGCUCCGCCUGAGUAGUACGUACGCAAGUAUAAAACUCAAAGGAAUUGGCGGGACCUCGCACAAGCGGUGGAUCAUGUUGUUUAAUUCGUUGAUACGCGAUGAACCUUACCAGGCCUUGACAUAUACAGGUGGUGCAUGGUUGUCGUCAGCUCGUGUCGUGAGAUGUUAGGUUAAGUCCUGCAACGAGCGCAACUCUUAUUGCUAUUUGCCAUCAUGGGCACUAUAGUGAGACUGCCAGUGAUAAACUGGAGGAAGGUGGGAAUGACGUCAAAUCAUCAUGCCCCUUAUGGCCUGGGCCACAAACGUGAUACAAUGGUUGUCAAAAGGAUGCUAGAAAGUGAUUUUAGGCAAAUCCUUACAAUCUCAGUUCGGAUGAAGUCUGCAACUCGACUUCAGAAGUCGGAAUCGCUAGUAAUCGUAGAUCAGAACGCUACGGUGAAUACGUUCUCGAGGUUUGCACACACCGCCCGUCAAACCACGAAAGUUAACAAUACCCAAAACCGGUGCCUAAGGAGCCGUCUAAGGUAGGGUUAAUGAUUGGGGU